This 452-nucleotide long non-coding RNA is filed under the name Homo sapiens (human). Its description in RNAcentral is "non-protein coding lnc-DAPK1-6:1". The record is from RNAcentral. Lineage: Eukaryota; Metazoa; Chordata; Mammalia; Primates; Hominidae.
CUGUCUUUCUCUACACCUUCUAUGAUAGACUUGCUAAACUUGUAUUUCUCCAAUAUACACACGAUACCCAUUCAGGUCCUUUGCCCAUUUGCUAAUCAGAUUAUUUGUUUUUGCCUUUUUCCUUUUUUUUUUUUUUUUUUUGAGUUGGGCAGUUUUUUAUUUUUUAUUGAGUGGGGCAAGUUCCUUAUAUAUUUUGUAUAUUAAACCCGUAUUAGAUAUUAUGGUUUGCAAUAUUUCUCCCAUACUAUAAGUUACCUUUUCAUUUUGUUAAUAAUUUCCUUAGCUGUACAGAAGCUUUUUAUUUUAAUGUAGGCCUGCUUGUUUAUUUUUGCUUUUGUUGCUUGCGCUUUUGGUGUCACAUGGAAAGAAAUCAGUGCCAACAUCAAUGUCAAGAAGCAUUUUCUCUAUGUGUUUUUCUAAAAUUUUAUGGUUUCAGAUUUCAUAUUUAAGCU